RNAcentral lists this long non-coding RNA (672 nucleotides) under Elaeis guineensis (African oil palm). Its description in RNAcentral is "long non-coding RNA (EGUI_LNC045248)". Lineage: Eukaryota; Viridiplantae; Streptophyta; Magnoliopsida; Arecales; Arecaceae. The record is from RNAcentral.
UUGAUCAAUGAUUAAGAAUUGUUCUAGGGUUAAAUGAUCAAUACGAUUGACAUUUAACCCAGUGCAAGUGUUGCAGGAGGAUCGAUUAGCAAUUCGAUUGCUAAUUGGCUUAAUUUGAUUAAGCCAAUGGAUUGAGAUUAAGUCUAAUUAAAUAUAAUUUAAUUAGAUUUAGUUUGGACUUGAUUGGAUCAAGUCCAAUUGGUUUAUUGGAUAAGCCAAGUGCAAGGAAAGCCUAGUCCUAGUUCAACUAGGACUUGGGUCAAUCUAAUUUCUAAUUUGAUUAGAAAAUUAAAUCAGAUUUAAAUUUAAUUUAAUCUGAAUAAAUUAGAUUCUUAAUUAGGUUAAGACCUAUUUUAAUUAGGUUGAUCUAAUUUUGGUUUGAUUUGGUUUGAGAAACCAAAUUAAAACAAGUCAUGAGAUAGAAUCCUAGAAAGACUAGGAUUCCACCUUGCACCACAUAAGCCUUCCCCACGCCCUCUCUCUUAUUCAACGCCAAUCUCCACUUAUUUUGUGCAACAAAAGCCCUCUCCCAGAUCUCUCCCACAUUCACAAAAGGUCUCCUCUCUUUUUUCUUACAUGAAAGGUGGUUUGGAUCAAAUCAAAAAGGAAUAAGUUUGGAUUUCGAAUUCUAUGAGAUAGAGUUUUAGAAAUCCAAAACUCUUUCAAUUUUGC